GACGUAGGGUGCAAGCGUUGUUCGGAAUUACUGGGCGUAAAGCGCGCGCAGGCGGAUGGGAAAGUCGGAAGUGAAAUCCUGGUGCUCAACCCUGGGACUGCUCCCGAUACUGCCCGUCUAGGGACCGGUAGAGGCUGGUGGAAUUCCCGGUGUAGCGGUGGAAUGCGUAGAUAUCGGGAAGAACACCCGUGGCGAAGGCGGCCAGCUGGGCCGGAUCCGACGCUGAGGCGCGAAAGCGUGGGGAGCAAACAGG
This 253-nucleotide unclassified non-coding RNA is filed under the name uncultured Gemmatimonadota bacterium. RNAcentral's name for it is "uncultured Gemmatimonadetes bacterium contains 16S-23S intergenic spacer region". It matches the Rfam family "Bacterial small subunit ribosomal RNA", at positions 524 to 776 of the family's 1533-position model. Lineage: Bacteria; Pseudomonadati; Gemmatimonadota. The record is from RNAcentral.